GGAGGCGUGCAUGAAUGGCGCGGCGGUGGUGUUUGUGCGGAGGCGGAGCAGACGUGGAGGUGGAUGAUGUGAAGGGAGAGAUGUGUGAUGUGAUAAUGAAGUGGAGGAGAGGGGUAAGGGGGGAUGUAAGCUAAAUGGGUAGGUGAGCGGCGCGGUGGAUCCGAGCUGGGAGGAGUGGAGAGCAGGGAAGGUAGGGGCUGGUAUCAGGUAAAGAGAGGGUGGUAGUCUGAGGAGGGAGCUUGGUUAGAGCAAUGGUUCUGGAUUAGAGGUGAAGAUUGAAAUAGGAAAAGGAUGUGUAGGGGGAAUGGGCUGAAGGUUAGAGAUGGAGCCGAUCAUGUAUUUCAGUGAACAGUGGUGUAAGUUUGUAGAAAUGCUAUUGAAUAUUUUUUUGGUACUGUAAGGCUUACGUAGAUUUUUCGGCAUAGGGCAUUGUGUGAAGAACUAAUGCUAGCUCUAUUUACUAGAUGGUUACCGUUGAGGAAGUUUGCAAUAUGUUAGAUUGAUUUUGAUGUUUGGAUUGUUUUUGGUGAUAUGUUUCCUGGGACCUUGAUUGGUUUUAGGAGGCAGUGAAAUCCAUGUUCUUUAUCGUUGUCUGCUCUUAUUUUCAGUUCUUUAUUCCGAGGACUCCGAUCAAGAAGUUUAUUUAGUGUUGUCUAGCUCAGUUUUUGAGAAAAGAGAUUUGCAUAAAUUGUGUGGUCCCCUUUCGAUGCCAACAUGAUAAGUCACGAUUCGAUGCAUUAUUUUAGCAGCGGAGUUCGCGAGUUCUUAUGUAUUGCAUCUGGAAAUUCUUUCAACAACACAGCCAUUGCAGAUAGCUCUCCUUAAGUGACCCGCGCCCAAUUUUCUCCACAGGUGGCAACAGAGCAUUCCCUCUUUGAAAUGCACAUUGAAGAUCGUGUUCCAAGACACUGGACAGAAUCCUCGCAUAAAUUCCUUGGUCUCAUGUUACCACGACGCUGUGUGGGUGUUGAGGAUAUUAGUCUGUUCCUCCGUCAUCCUGGUGCGCCAGGUUAGUCUUUCCAGUUGUGAUGACGUAAACCACCCAAUGUUUCCAUGCACACGUUAAAGUAUAUUCAAUACUUGUCAACUUCGUACUUAAAUCCCAUCAGUCCAUUAGAAAUUGAUCCUUGUUCAUGAAUCAAAUAGAAUUAUAUUUUGCCGGGGGAUGGAUUGAUCAAGCCCUACUUAUCUUGUUGAAUUUCUAAUACUUGUCCCAGAUUAGCACCUAAGUUUAUGCUACUGUGUCUUGACCUAGUAAUUGUGUUAUUUGGAUGCUAAUUCAAGAUAGCUUGUCCUCUAUCUUCUAACAUCCACCCUGGGACCUAAGUUUGUAGAUAGAGACAAGGAUGGAGAGCAACUCAAGCUUUGGCAAGGCAGUGACCUAUUUCUUGUGGUUGCUCUUUGAGCUGAUCAUGGCUUUGAUGAGAGCCCCUCGACACUAUCUUGAUGUAGGCAAAGUUCUUUUUGCUCAAUUUGAUUGAAGUUGAUGCUUGCAAUAAGAGUACCAAUCUAAAGGUCUCUAUCUAAUAUGUAAUUCAUUUUAAUGAAUAGGAGUUAGUGUAUCCAUAAUCAAUGUAAUGUCCAUUGCCCAAUUUGUGUUUGAUUAAGGCUUGUUUUCUAAGUGCUUUGAUGAGAAUGUUUGUUAUUUGUUCUUGUAAAUUGAUUCUUGAGAUUUUGUUGUCUCUUAAUAUUUGUUCUUUCACAUAAUAGUGGUGCAACUCAAUGUAUUUUGAUCUUAUAUAAAACACUAGGUUUUUGGCAAGCUUAAACUUAAUUGUGUUGAUAUUGUCACAUCUCAAAUGUAAGUCCAUCUCAGUUGGAAUGGCUACACCUGUAAGAUUGAAUGUAGCUUCUUGAUAAGAAUAUAAUGUAUUGAUGUUGGUUGAGACAUUAGAGAGGCAUAAUUUGCGAAGAAUCCUUUGUAAGUAAAUUGCUUCAUUGGCUUCUUUUGAAAGGGAACAAUAUUAAGUUUCAAUAGUAGAUAGAGAAACCAUGAGUUGCUUUUUACUUACCUAAAAAAUUACAUUCCAAGUGAAAAACUAAAGUCAUUAGUACUACAUUUGAAGUCUUUGCAUGAUGCCCAAUCAACAUUAGUAAAAUUAGUAAAUUGAGUAAGUGAAGAAUUAUAAGUAUGAUCAUAGAGGUGGAGUAGAGAUAAAUGUUUGUAGAAGAUACUUUACUUGAAUCACUAGUAGAGAACAUGUUUCACAAUAUACCAAUGAAGUUUUUAGAAACUAGACAUAAAACAACUAACAAAACCUAUAGAAUAAGCUAUAUUUGGAUUGAUAUUUAUUAAAUAAUAUAAUUAAAAAAUAAUAUGAUAAUAAAAAUUUUGAUCGAAAUUUGAUGAGUAAGAUUCUAGAGAGGGGAGGAGACCUUUAGGAGAAAUAUAAGGGCCUCUUUUAAGUUAGAUAUUUAGACAUAAGUCAAGAUCUAUGCUGUAUAUGCAUGUUGAUGAAUAAGUAUGCCUUUUUGGAAGAAUAUAACCUCUAUACUUAAGUAUUACUUAAUAAUGCCUAAAUUUUUCAUUUCAUAUUGAAUGUAAAGUUCAGCCUAUACUUAAACAACUUAAUAGAGAGAAUUCCUAAUAAUUAGUAGUUCAUCAAUAUAUAAUAGCAUGAUAAUAAGUAAAGUGCCAUCUUAGAGCUAAUAUAAAUUAAGAUCCAUUGCAUUGCAUUGCCAAUUUUGAGCAAAAAGAUAAGAAUUUAUUUCCUCUAACCAAACAUGAGGGCUUUGAUUAAGUCCAUAGAUAGAAUAAUUUAACUUGCAUACAAGAUGACUACUGUUGGGAGUUAUAAACCCUUAUAGUUGAUGUAUGUAUACCACCUUUUAGUACUUUUUGUUAAAAAAAUCAGUGACAACAUUUAGAUAAAAGAUGUUCCAUCUAAACAUAGUUACAAGAUAGAUAAUAAUAUAUAGUGUUGACUAUUUACUACAUGAAUAAAGGUCUCUAAAUAAUCUCUACCAAGCCUUUGCUUAUAGCUUUUAGCAACCAACCAUGCAUUAAGCUUGAUAUAAGGAGAAUAAAGAUCCAAUUUAAUACAAAGCAUCCAUCUACCAAACAAUGUUUGUUUAUUUGGUAGAAGUUCAACAAACUCCUAAGUACCAUUCUUGUAGUGAAAUUUCAAUUUUGUUAUAGCUUUCUUCUAUUGUCGGUUUUAUAGAGCUUCUUCAACACUAAUAUUUUUGUUUAAACAUUCAAUAAUGUUAUGAGAACACUUAGAUAAAUUAAAAGAUGUGAGAUACAUAUAAAAAUUGUGGUUCUUUGAAGUAAAAGAUAAGUUCUAUCUUGGUUGUGUUAAAGCCAAUGGAAUAAAAUGAGUUAAAUGACACUGCAUAGAUUUAAGUGACAGUGACACACUAAGAAAAGAUCUUGUAUAUUGAUUAUUGUGAGAAUCAAAAUCUAUAAUUAAUAUGGGAGAUAAGAAGUGAAAAGAGUAGUUGGAGUUAGAGUCAGCAAUAACAAAGAUAAGAAAUUCUUUGACUACAAAAUCUUGAACUGCUUUAUUGAUAGUAAAUGUUUAUUUAAAGAUAGUAUAACAAUAAAUUAAAAUGGAUAUUUCCAAAAUAUAGUAAAAUUAAAAAAUCAUGAAACAAGACUAAGAACAAAAAAGGCUUUAAUAAGAAUGAAGAAAUCCUCAUUCUUAAAUAUAUAUAUAUAUAUAUAUAUAUAUAUAUAUAUAUAUUAUGUGGCGAUAUUUUAUAAGACCUUUAAUAUAUCUCUAACUUAUAAGACAUAUGUCUAAUUUGCAAGGCAAGUCUCUUAUAUAUGCACCACAUGACCAACUUGUUGGCCAAUUUUUUAUUCUAUUAAUCAUCUAUAGACAUAUAUAAAGUCAAAUUUCUGUCAAUAUAGCCUCCAUGAAGAUUCUCAAUAAGAUAUCAUUAAAUUUAUUUUCUUCUACAUAUAUUUAUCUAAUUUGAUGAAUCUAGUUGAUUCAUGAUAAAAAUAUGUAUAUCACUAAAAAUUGAUGUUUAAUAAUCGAAAUACCCUUGAUAAUUUCUAUCUAGUUUCAAACUACAUCACAAUAUUUAAACACUUUAGAAUGAUCAUUGUAUUCAAUGAGAAUACAAAUAAUAGAUUUAAUUCCAAGCUCUUAUUGUUGUUUAUUGAGAAAACAUACUAAGAUUUGUGAACCUAAAAUAAAGUGAAAAAAAAUAACAAUAAUAAUAACAAUAAUAUUUUAUAUAUAAUAUUAAAUAUAAUAUAGUAAUAGUUGCAAAUCAUAACAUAAAAAUUGUGAAACCUUUUUUACCUCCUCAACUUCAAUCUUUCAACAUCACAUGCCAACUAAGCAUUCUACACCACCCAAGUUCCUUUUAAUUAUUAUUAUUUUAUUUGCAUCCAUCUUAUAUUUAAUAUUUGUAUCCACCAACUCUACUUCAAACAUACAAAUGACCUUCCAAUAAUGCAUGUACUUGACUUAUGAAUCCUUCCAACACCACAUACUAACAAAUGUAUUCUAUUUCAUGAUUAAGUUUUCCUUUCAUUUUAUCUUCCAUGAUAUUAUUUAUGCAACUUCUUUCCAUUAAUCUCAUUGAACUACAACAAAUCAUCUUUAAAAAUAUAGUUUCUUUUGUAAUAUAACUUGGUACUAAUGGAGUGUCAUGGACAUAUGCAUGUAAGCCAAUAAUUACAUGCAUAAAUAAGUAGAAGUAAGUAAAAGUAUGUAAAAGUAAAUUAAUUCUAUAAUAUUUGCUAUAGAAGCUUCUUAAAAGCUUUAUAGACACUGAUUUGACUUUAUAGGUUUCUUUAAUUGACUUUUUGGAUUAGAAACAUAGUCAACAAGUUGGCCAUGUGCCACACAUAUUAUUAGCUUGAAGACCAAGCUAACUAUGUGGCCCACACAUAGAAAAACUUGCCUUGUAAGUCAAAGCAUGUGUCCUACAAAGUCAACACAUAUUGGAGGUCCUACAGAACAUCACCACAUAGCCCCUAGUUAGAUAGUAUAUAUAGAGACAAGAGUGAAGCCUUCUUCACUCUUAUCAACUCAUUUCUUGCUUCCAGUCUAGUUUCAAGGGUCUUUAGUUUUCUUGACUUUUGGCAAUAGCCAUUCCAGUUUCUUUCUUAAUAUACGUAUCAAGUUAUUUCUAUUUUGUCAUCUUUCUUUGAGAGAAGUGUCACUUGUUUAUUUAUUUUUAUCAUAUUCUUGUCUUUGAUAGAUUCACAAGAAUACACUUAUAAUAUUAGAGCUUUGUCUAAUCUUGAUUAAGAGUGGAUUAUCCCUUUUUCUUGAUAAGACAUUAGUAUGUUAGAAGUUGUGGAUUAUCUUCUUCUAAACUGAUAUUGUCCUUAGUAUUUUCUUUGUUCUCAAGUCCUCUCUUCUAUUUGAGUGAUAUUAGACAUCUUCUCUUUUCUAAAUAUUAUCAUGGAAAAACUUGGUAAAAUGAAGAGUGCAAUGGUACAAAUGCAAGAGCAAUUGAGGGAGUUAAUGUUUGCGAUGCAUCAACUUAAUUUAUCACCAUAAGGAGCAACAAGAUUAGUAGGAAGUGAAGAUAUAGAAAUGAUUGGAGCUGCUUCAACAUCUGCACCAAAUCAUGUUCCUUCUCCUAUGGUAGAACGCCUUUCCAAUGUUAGAGAACCAAGAAUUGCCCUACCCGAGAAGUUUGAUGGCACCAUAUCAAAGUUUAGAGGAUUUAUCAAUCAAGUACAACUUGUGAUUGAACUUCAAUCCCAAAGCUAUCCAACUCCAAGAUCGCAAGUUAGAUUCAUUGGUACGCUUCUUUCAGAUUCAGUAUUAUCAUGGUUUUCAUCUUUUUUUAAACGACAAGAUCUAAUAUUGGAUAAUCUAGAGGCUUUUUUGGUAGAGUUUUGAUCCAUGUAUGGAGAACAUGAUGUAAUUCGUGUUGCAACCAAUAAGAUCCAUAUUUUAUGACAAGACAAUCGAUCAAUAAAGUUGUAUGCUUCACAAUUUUGACAACUUGCAAUUGAUAUCAAGUGGGAUGAUGCUGCACUUAUUAGUCAAUUUCUCUACGGAUUACAAUAUGAGGUAAAAAAAUUAAUGCUCAACUUAGUUGAUCCUCAAACAUUGAGUCAAAUAAUUGACUUUGCUGUGAAGUGCUACAAUCAUCUUUUUGAAUUCUGAUUUGAGAACCAUAUAAGUGGACCUCAAUGUUACUAUAAUUCAAUGGCAACACCAACAUCUCUUCAACACAUACAUUUGGAAGUAGAUGAUAUGUAAAUUGAUGCGAUAUGUUUCAAACCUCUUACUGAACAAGAAAAGACUUAUCGUCGUUAGGAAGGAUUGUGCUUAUAAUGUGGAGAAGCUAAGCAUACUACUCAAUAUUAUCCAAAGAAGCAAUGCAACCAUAAAAUGAGGAGUAUGGCGAUCAAAGAAGAUAGCAUGUCAAAAAAUAAAUUUGUCUAGCUACAAUAGAGAUAAUGUGGCUGGAACCUUAUAUAACGCCUAGUGAAGGUCCUAUCCUCUCCUUAGAACCUUCUCCAUGUUUUACAAUAAAUGUUAUUCUAGGACCUAAACAUCACAAAGUCUCUGCCUUACUAGAUUCAAGAGCCUCAGCAUGUUUCUUAGAUGAAUAAUUUGUUGAAAGACAUAGGAUAUUUUUAGUGAAGAAAACUAAACCUGUUCAUGUAGAAGUCAUAGAUGGUUGUCUAUUGUCUUCAGGAGAUGUUACUCAUGAAAUCCUUCUUAUAGAAAUAGCAACUAAUGGUCAUAGUAGUUUUGUAAUAUUUAAUAUCAUGAGAUCUUUUUUUAAUCCAAUCAUUUUAGGUUUAUCAUUGUUAGAAAAAUAUAAUUCUAAAAUAGAUUAGACUUCUCGUAGUCUUGACUUUUUUAAAAGUAUAGCUAAAAUCAUAGUUAAUCAAAUAGAAAGUCAUAAGUCUAGUAUAAAAAACCUAAAUUUAUAGGUACAAGAGCUUUUUUGUAUGCUGCAAAAGAAGGAUCACCUUGUGUCAUUUAUGUUGCACCUGUUUCUACUGGAGGAAAGACUUUAAGUGGCAUUCUAAGCCAAUAUCAAGAUUUUCAAGAUGUAUUUGAGAAGAAGAAUGCGGAUACUCUUCCAGAACAUCAUUCCUAUGUCUACUCAAUUGACCUUCAAGAAGGAGCACAACCGCCAUUUGGACCAAUCUACAAUUUAUUUCAAAAUGAGUUGGCUGAACUCAAGGAAUAUAUUGAAGAAAAUCUGGCCAAAAACUUCAUAUGCCAUUCCAAAUCUCAAACAAGAGCUCCAAUUUUAUUUGUGAAGAAAAAAGACGGACCAUUGCGGAUGUGUGUUGAUUAUUGAGAAGUCAACAAAAUCACUAUAAAAAAUAGGUACCCACUACCUUUAAUGUCUGGACUCCUUGAUCACUUGAAUCAAGCUAAGAUCUAUACAAAAAUAGAUCUACAAAGAGCAUACAAUCUGGUACAUAUCAAAAAAAGAGAUGAAUGGAAGACUGCGUUUCAAAUAAGGUAUGGACAUUUCGAAUAUAAUGUCAUACCUUUUGGACUUACAAAUGUACCAACAACAUUCUAAUAUCUAAUGAAUGAUGUCUUUUGGGAGUUUUUAGAUGAUUUUGUUAUCUGUUACCUAGACGACAUCUUAAUCUAUUCUAAGAAUAUAGAACGACAUGAACUUCAUGUUUGUCAUAUAUUACAAAAACUAAGAGAUGCGAGAUUCUAUGCCAAGAUAGAAAAGUGUAUAUUUCAUACUACUCAAGUUGACUUCUUAGGAUACAUCAUUUCAAAUGAUGGACUUAUGAUGGAUCCUAAGAAAGUUCAAAUUAUUAUGGAUUGGAAGAUCUCAAAAAUAGUAAGAGAUGUAAGGUGAAGCUCAAUUACGUUUUCUUCAAGCUUGUCAUGACUUUUCAGCACCAGAAUAUUUUGGGUACAAUAAAACUUUGGAACUAAUAUCCAAGGACUUUUGGUGGCCCCAAAUGUGAAAAGCCGUCAAAGAUAUUGUACAAUCUUGUGAUAUUUGCUUAAGAUCAAAAACUCCUCAUCAUUGACCUUACGGACUUUUUCAGCCAUUAUCCAUUCUAGAACAACCAUGGUCUUCUGUUUCUAUGGAUUUCAUCACGGAUCUUCUAAUCUCAAGUUCUUAUGACUCUAUAUUCGUGAUAGUAGAUCGUUUUACCAAGAUGGCAUAUUUUGUACCAUGUAUAAAAUCUAUCUUAGGUGAAGAAACAGCUAAGCUCUUUCUUGACAACAUCUAUCGCUAUCAUGGAUUACCCAAGGAUAUUAUAUCAGAUAAGAGAAUUCAAUUUGUAUGAAGAUUUUGGUGAACUCUUUUCAAGAUUUUAAAAAUGGAUAUAAAAUUAUUUUUGACAUUCUAUUUUUAAAUUGAUGGACAAAUGAAAUGUAUUAAUUAAGUUUUGGAGCAAUAUUUAAGAUGUACCAUUAAUUAUCAACUAGAUGAUUGGACAACUCUUUUGCUAUUGGUAGAGUUUGCUUACAAUAACAAGGUACAUUCUUCUACAAAACAAACACCUUUCUUUGCCAAUUAUGGUUAUCAUCCUUGAUUUGAUACUUUUGACUUUUUAAAAGUUGAUAAUCCUGCUGCAAAAGAUUUGGCAAUUCAUUUGUCAGAGCUACAUGCAACGAUGAAGGCGCAGUUAAAAGAAGCUCAAAAAUAACAAAAAGUCAAUGUGGAUGUCUAUCAAAAGAAACAACCACUAUUCCACAUGGAUGAUAAUGUAUGGUUACUUUGUUGCAAUAUCAAGACCACUCAUCCUUGUGACAAGUUGGACUAUCAAAGGCUUGGACCAUUUUCUAUUUCUAUACAAAUCAAUCUAGUUACAUAUCGUUUACACCUAUCAGAGUCAAUGAAAAUCCAUCCAGUAUUCCUUAUUGUCGUGAUGUAACACGACUAAUAGGUCAAAGAGUAUGGAUAUUAUUAUAAUUUAGGAGAUCUUAGUUCAAAGUAUUAGAACAAAUUAUCUUAGAAAUAUAGUUAAUAGUCAAAGGGGUAGAAAAAUUAAAAAGUACCAAUGCUGCCUUUUAGAUAGGUGACUUCUACUUACUUUGUAGCACCAUAAGUAAGGCAAAUCAAAGUAGAUUGGAAAAAUAAAUAACAUAAGCAUCUUUAUAAGAAAGUUAAGAGUAAAUUCUAGAAAAAAUUACUUAGAAAAACUAGAUAUUGGUAUCCGGAGAGGGCCGGUUAUGAACCAAGGUCGAAAUCAGACCCUAUGGCACAAAACUGAGUCUCGAUGACGAUUUCGGGGUUCUUUUGGAGAUCGGAGAGUGAGGUUUGAUAGCAAACUGAAUAAACUUUGUAUGAGCAUUGAUUUUGGGUGAUUUAAAGUUGUUAUGACUUUGUAAUAGCUUUGCAAAGUCAAAGAUUGUUUUGGAUAACUUAGGUUUUAUGAAAUAAAACAGGGUUUAUGUUUUGGGUGAUUUCAAGAGUUUUGUAAUACAUCUAAAAAUGAAAAUUUGUAGGUUCAUGGUUAUAGUUGUGUUUAAUAUGUGUUGUGAAUUUGAGCUCGAUCUAAUAGUUGAAUUGAGGAAUAUUGAGGUUUAAGUGGGUCAAGGUCUCAAAAAGUAGAAUUUUAGGUCAAAUAAGGGUUUUUAAGAUUUCUUGCAAUCUACUACUUGGAUUGGAGUAAAACUUAUAUGAAAGGAUAUUAGACUUGUUUUUCUAUGUGUAUGAGAAUUUUUAGAUCAAUUGAAUAGUGUAAAGGAGAGAUAUUGGCUAUGGAAGAUUGGCAUCAAGAUUGGAGAAAGAGGCCGGCCAAUACCUGAGCACAUUUUUGAGGUAAUCGACAAUUUGGUAACUUCGAUCCUUUUCAAAUUUUUUGUGCUUGUUUUUAACUUAUUUUUUAAGAAGUAUGCAAAAUUUGAAUGAAGAUCAAUAGUUUAUUCAUUAGUUAUUGAGGUUCAAAUCUAUUGUAGGAAUUACUAAGAUUUGGUUUAGGAUUUGGUUAGGGUUUUAUUUAGGGUUUAGGAUUUUAUUAGGAUUUAAGAUUUAAUUAGUUUUGGCCUAAAUUUUGAAUGAAGUUCAAUAGGAUUUUAACUAGAAUUAAAUUAAGGUUGAAUUGAGAUGUAUUUGAGUGAUAUUUGUGAUCCUUUUAAUAUUUCUUUAAGAAUUCUUAUUCUUUGUUUGAAAUUUCUUUGAGGUUUUUUUGAAUUUGAUUAAGCUUGAUUAGCAUUAUUAUGGUCUAAUUAGAGGAUUUUUAGUAUAUUAUAAGAAUUAAGAUUUUGUUAUUAUAAUUUCUAUUCUUCUUUCUACAACCAGGUACUUGGAGCAUUUUAAAGUAAGACUUCACGUAUUACGACACUGCAAAUGUAGAAGGGAAUCAAAGAUUUUGUACAAUCUUGUGAUGUUUGCUCAAGAUCAAAAAUUCCUCAUCAUCAACCUUAUGGACUUCUUCAGCUGUUACCUAUUCCAGAACAAUCAUGGUCUUCUGUUUCUAUGGAUUUCAUCACGAAUCUUCCAAUCUCAGGUUCUUAUGACUCUAUAUUCGUGAUAGUAGAUCGUUUUACCAAGAUGGCAUAUUUUGUACCAUGUACAAAAUCUAUCACAAGUGAAGAAACAACUAAGCUUUUCAUUAACAAUAUCUAUCCCUAUCAUGGAUUGCCAAAGGAUAUUAUAUCGGAUAGAGGGACUCAAUUUGUAUCAAGAUUUUGAAAAACCCUAUUCAAGAUUCUAAAGUUGGAUAUAAAGCUUUCUUUAGCUUUUCAUCCUCAAAGUGGUGGACAAACAGAAUGGAUAAAUCAAGUUUUGGAGUAGUAUUUGAGAUGUACCAUCAACUAUCAUCAAGAUGAUUGAACAAUUCUUUUACCAUUGGCAGAGUUUGCAUAUAAUAAUUUGGUACAUUCUUCUACUCAAAAAAUACCUUUCUUUGCUAAUUAUGAUUAUCAUCCACGUCUUGAUACUUUUAAUUUUUCAAAAGUUGAUAAUCAUACGAUGGAAGAUUUAGGAAAUCGCUUGUCAGAGCUACAUACAACAAUGAAGAUACAAUUAAAGGAAGCUCAAGAACAACAAAAGACCAAUACAAAUAUCUAUCGCAAGAAGCAACCACAAUAUAAUAUGGGCGAUAAGGUAUGGUUACUUUGUCGUAAUAUCAAGACUACUUGUUCUUGUGAUAAAUUAGAUUAUUGAAGGCUCAGACCUUUUCUUAUUUGUGAAUAAAUCAAUUCUGUUGCCUAUCGAUUAUAUCUACCAGAGUCUAUGAAGAUCCACCCUAUAUUUCACGUGUCUCUUCUGGAGCUAUACAAGACAGUGAAUAUUUUGGGAAGAAGACAAAUGCCACCUCCUCCUAUAGAAGUAGAUAAUAACCAAGAGUUUGAGGUGGAAGAAGUCUUAGACUCAAGGUAGCGCUGAAAUAGGUUGGAAUAUCUUGUUCAUUGGCGUGGACACAAUAUUAGUGAACACACAUGGGAGCCAUCAAAGAAUCUUGCAAAUGUAGCAAAAAAAGUUGAAGUCUUUCAUCAACAACAUCCAUUAAAACCAAGAUGAAGAAUAACAAACCUUUGCUAUAAAAGAAACAAGAUCAAAGGAAAAUAACAUUGUACCUUCUAUCUUUUAUUGUAGCUUCUGUGUAUUUGUGAUGAGAUGGAGCAAAAAACAAUCAGCAGAUUCAAUUCAAGAGCUUUCAUUUGCAGACUUACCAUAUGAGACAUUGCGAUUGUUACAACCUUCAAGACGACGGAAUUGAGAUAAAGAUCCUUAAGAAUGACAUGUCCUUCUUUGAAUAGAUGGCGAGAUACAACGUGUUUGGUAUCACGACCUUGGAAGAGAAUCCUGAUAUUUAAUGAAUUUAUUUGAGGUAGGAACUACUCCUGACGAUGUUCCAAAUAUUUUAUUUGAAAGAAGUUAUGAAGGCCUUAACAAUGACCAAAUAGUAGGGUGGUCUUCUCACCUUGGUAUGGGAUACUAUAGAUGGUUGAGAGGACCUAUCAACCAUCUUCGAAGAGAGCAAAGAUUGGAGUAUGUAGCAAAUAUAAUUUGCCGCAUCUUGGACUACCUCAACAUAUGAAGACCGCUCCUCGUGGAACUCGUCCCUAGAGCGGGGGAUAAUGUCACGGACAUAUAUAUUUACCUCAAUAGUUACUUAUAUGAUUAAGUAGAAUUAGGUAAAAAAGAAUAAUUUUAUAAAGUCUUCUAAAGAAACUUCCUAGAAGCUUUAUAGAUAUGGUUUUGACUUUAGAUGUGUUUGUAGGUUAGAAACUUGGCCAAAAAACUAACCAUGUAUUAGUAGCUUGUGGAACAAGCCAACUAUGUGGCGCAUACAUAGAUAACUUACCUUGCAAGAUAUGACAUGUCGCUAGCAAAGUUAGCACAUGUUGGAGGUCCUAUAGGAUAUCGCAAUGUAGCUUUUAGUUAGAUAGUAUGUAUGGAGGCAAGAGUGAAGCCUUCUUCACUCUUGUCAACACCUUUCUUGUCUUAGUCUUGUUUCAAGACUUUCUAGUCUUCUUAUUUUUGGCAAUAGCCAUUCUAGUUAAUAUUACAUCACCUUUUGAGUGACUUUCUAGUUCUCUUCAGUGAUAGAAGAGUAUAUUGAGGAUUCCCUUUCUUCGAGAUUCAUGUCCUUGACACUAUGUGGCCCAUAUGUAGAAAAACUUGAUUUGUAAGUCAAGGCAUGUGUCUUACAAAGUCAACACAUAUUGGAGGUCCUAUAAAACAUUGUCACAUAGCCCCUAGUUAGAUAGUAUAUAUAGAAAUAAGAGUGAAGCCUUCUUCACUCUUCUUAACUUCUUUUUUGCUUCCAAUCUAGUUUCAAGGGUCUUUAGUUUUCUUGGCUUUUGGCAAUAGCCAUUCCAGUUUUUUUCUUAAUAUACAUGUCAAGUUAUUUCUAUUUUUGUCAUUUUUCUAUAAGAGAAGUCUCACUUGUUUAUUUGUUUUUAUCAUAAUCUUGUCUUUGAAAUGGAGUGACCUAUUUCUUGUGAUUAAAUAGAGAACAUGCAAUCAAAUGAACUUUCUUCCAAAAUAUAACUUGGAUUUUUGUUUAAAAAAUGACUCUAAAUUUACUAGAUAUCAUUAAUAAAUAUAAGUAACUGUAAGAUAGGCAAUCUUCCAUUUCUUAAUUUUAUUUUUUAUUUCUUUGUAUAGACAACACAUACACAUAUAAUUCUCCCUCCUUACCACACAUUGAUUAAAUGAAUAAGUAGAAUGAAUAAUAAUCAUUUGAAACUAUGUUUGACAACUCACUCAGUAUUCUUGUUACUUGAAUUUCAACAUAAAUAAAGUCACCUUUGUUUAAUAUAAACAAAACCUAUUUUUACUGAUUUAUGGAACUUGUAUUCCAUUAUAUAGUUAUGAGUGUCAAUAAAGAUAGUGCCCAUUAUACUAAAUUUCAAGUUACAAACAUCACAUAUUAGUGUUGAAAUACAAUUUCAACUGAUGGUUAUUUAGUUCAUUUCUUUGUCAAAUUGAUGUGUAGUAAAGAAGAUAUCCACCUAAUGAAAAGGCAAGGUGUCCAUAGUAUAAUGGUUCUCUAAACAUAUACUUACUUUGAGUAGGAACUAGAAACAAAACAAUUGUAUCUAAAUCACUAUCCAUUCAAUAAAGGUUUCCAAAUGUUGUGCUCUUUUUUUCCUCUUCUCCAUUGCCAAGUACUCUCACCAUGUCCUCACUCUAAUUUUUUUUCUACAAUGUUUCCAAACCCACAAAUGUUCUCCUCCUCUUGUGACUUUGUUGUGGGGGAGGGGUGGGUGGGAGCGUCGCGGGUGGCCCAGCAGGUUCAUGGGAGCGAGGGAGGGAGUUGUCGCAGGCUCUUGGGAGAAACCCUAAAUUAGAAUGGGGGGGUGGGUGCAGGGUGGGUUCAGGGUUUAGGGUUUCUCCCAUGGCAUGGGCAGGCAGGCAGGCAGGCGGGCCUGUCCUCCCAGCUCCCUCUCCCACCCACACGCUCAAGCGAAUUGGGGAGCGGGAGGGCGGGGCUGAGGCUGAGGCUGAGCAGCUGAAUCAUUGGGUCCCCUUGUGAUGUGGUGUGGGAAGCGGAGGAGGAGGAGGAGGAGGAGGAGUAGUAGUAGGGAGAGGGCGUGAUCAUAGUUUGCCGAGACGGGUUUGCUGUGGUUUGGGUGUUGUGAUUGUCGUUUUGGGGCUUCGCGAGAUGACGUUGACGCUGUUGGAGCUCCUGGGCAGCGCGGGGCAGGUGGAGGAUGGCGCUGCGAGGGUGGACGUGGAGAGCUCGUGGUGCACGGCGGUGCGGAGGCUGAAUCCGUCGAUGGCGACGCCGUCGGAGCCCCCGUCGAAGAAAGGGGUUGCGAAGAAGCCACACGGUGUUGCGGACACUUAUUUCGAGGAUUUGAUGAUGAGGGAGAGCGGGGCGUGGCAAAUGCGGUGUCCGAAUGCCGAGGAGGACCGGGUUGUGGCGGAGCUGAAAAAGAAAUUGGGGAAUCUCGGGGAUUUCUCGAAGGAGGAAUUCGUGGCCAUGACGAGGCCUGUGUUGGAGAGUGCUGCGAGGGCGGAUGGGAACGCGGAGGGGGCGAAAGCGUCGGGGCGAGACGACGAGGCGAUGGAGGUGGCCGAUGCGGAAUUCUCGUAUUUGAGGGUGUUGAGGAAAGUGGGGCCUCACAUUGGUAGGAAGCUGUUGGCUUCAAUCGUGAGGUGCAGUUUAGGGCUGCAGUUCUGGGGCGCUCUGAAGGUUUUGCUGGAGUUGGGUCUGGUCACCAGCGCGUCCCAUCCGGACUUGGUUCAGAAGCUAGUGGAGCACAGGAAGGCGGAUUUUCUUUGCUUGUGCUUUUAUCAUGUGCUGGACCUCACCCCGUCCGACCUCAUGAUCGGACUGAAGUUUUUACUGGAGAUAACCCCUGCGUCCGGGAGGUCGUUCGAAGUCGUGCGGCAGGGGUGGCGAAGAGCAGCGUGUGAUGCCAUAGACCUCGCUGCCAGAAGAAAAGAGAAUGUCCGGAUGAGUGAGUAUCGUUUGCGAGAUGCAUUGGGCAUUGUUCCGGCAGAGGGAGAGGGUGCUUCAGGAGCAGCGGCAGCGAGUGAGCGUGAGAAACGAAAAUACGAGAAAUUGGUGAGCAGGAAAAAUGUAGCCGUAGCUUAUGCCGUCGCAAUGGCAGUGGCAGUGGAUGGUUUCGAAGGGUGGGAAACCUGUCUUCACGCAUUGGUAGCCUCCGGGCAAGACGAGGCGGUUUUAGCAGCAAUCGUGGCGGAGCUGGACACGUCGGAGGCGGUGCAGCUUCUGCAGUACGUGCGCAAAUGGCUGGAUCGAUAUUCCGGUCGGCUGUGCAGCAAUCCAUUGCCGAGGGGCGAGUCUAUGGAUUCAAUUUACAGAGUUCCGUCGUCGCAGCAGGUGCUUCAAUGGGUGAGCAUGGUGUUAGACGGACAGUAUACAAAAUGCGUACUGUCGCCGAAGUUUCUACCGGAGUUGAGAGCUAUACAGGGUUCGGUUCAGUCCGUGGUGGCAAUCGGUAGAAAGUUGACGCCGUUGUUAGGGGUGGUGGAGCAUCUCAGGGCUAUGCAUGCCCUGCCUGCUCGUGGACAGGACAGUGUCGCAAAUGCAGACUACACAAUAGAGUAUCUUGAUAUCAGUUGAUAUCGCGAAAUUUUGAUGCUUAACGUAGAUCAAUUGGAUUCUUUGAGAUUUCUAGGUUUUACCCUGUGUCCAUCGUGUGCUGGUAGUCAGGAGCUGUGCUUGCCAGAGGGCUCUGUUGGAUGCAUCAACGUGAGGAUGACUGUGGAGCUGUGCACUAUUAGUUUCGAAUUCAUGUCCGGGACCAGCUUCUGCUUCCUCUUCUUCGUUAUCGUCCUCACCCUGAUUUGAAUUUGAAUCUACAAGUGGGUCCUCUUCAGAGUCCUGCUCACUCCCUUCUUGGUUUAUAGUUUUCACAUUAAUAAAUUUGAAGGUGAUUUUGCUCCCUAUGCAGGCAUUGGAGUACCAAUAAAAUGCUUAAAACAUGUUGCAAUUAGCUUUUGCAACUGGGGAUUUUCUCUUAACGCCAUACAUCAUUCACAUUAGAAGAUAUACCAUAUCAAUUCAUAGCCUUCCUAGCAAAUGGUGGACCAUUUGCAUCAAAUGCAUUAUGUACCUUUCUCACAGAUUCUGCAAUUAGCCUUAGAAAGAUCCUUUUUUCUUGGAUUCUGUACAUCACCUGAACUCUUAUCAUUCCUUUGGACUGUAUUCCGAAAUCCUCUUAUGAUAGCCACUCAUGAUAGCUUUUAUCUUGUAUUGAUCCCAGGAAUCUGUUCAAGCAUCCCCGAUCUUCGAAAGCACAAAACAAUUGCAUGGUUGAGCCUUGUCAGUACUGCAGGGAGGCAAAUACUUAAUGACUGCAUUCAACCGCUGCAGUAAUGUAAACGAUGCUUCAGUAUAAUCAUGCCCCGUGGAGUUGUCCACUAAAGUAGUUCUGGUCGAAUUUCCUUGCAACAGAGUAAUUUGACAGCGUUCCUAAUUCAGCCAGUCAUUUCGCACAACUCUUGUUACAAAGCUUUUCUUCGCAGUUUUGUCUGCUACACAACAUCAUCACGAGCACCUCUGAUUGCAAGAGCGCAAAUUGCAUUCCCAAAUACCAGCGUAGGCACCUAAAUGCGAGCUCGAAUCCCUCUAGUAAGGCGGACAAUCAUUGUCAUUCCUUGCCCGCCAGAAACGACAUCUGCAUACUUCACACUGUCAUUACCGCGAAAACCCAAUGUCUUUCCGUUGUCCAUAUUGACAACAGAAUGGGUCUCAUCAACAUUCUCUACGAAAUCUUCACUAAGUGUGACGUUCUCAAAGUCUCUCUUCGCCUAUCUCAAAUGAAAAAUGAGUCUUGUCAAUGUGUGCCUGCAAGUCUGGAAGCACCAUAAAUUUGCCUGUAUUUUCUCUCCCAACAAUGUUGCACUUUCCCAUAAACCUCUGAAUCAAGCGAGUGGAAAUUCUUUUUGUGCAGAUCAACUUGCUGAUCAAAAUGAGGAUGCUCGGGCUUAUCAAGUGUCUGCUUCCCCAAUUGAUGCAACAGUCUUUGGCUGAACUUCACUCCUGCUUUUCUCAAUCGAUUUAACUCAUACAACAUGCUUGGGUAUAGCCAAGUCACCCAAGGUGCUGUUUUUAGAACUUUGCCUCUCUGCUCAUGUGAAAUGCCUUCCGUAUAAUCCCAUCUUGGCGCAUGUUGAUGGAAAUCUCAGUCAUGGAAAUCUCAGUCUGUUUGUCAAUGUGUUGCCAAACAACUUGAAUUUUCCACGAGUCAGAUGCCUUCUUCAGGUUCGCAUACUUGUCAGCUUUGAACUUAGGCGGAAAUGUGGUUAUUGGCCUUGAACACAUUUCAGAUUGUCUUGUUGAAAGAUAUAGAAUCAACUCUAGUUUAGUUCAAAUUACUUAAGUCUAUGAUGAGUUAUCUCAUCGUCAAAAAUAGAAAAAGUAGUCAGUGUAGCAUGGACUGUCGCAAUAAACAUGAGAUAAAAAUAGGAAUUAUUGCAUGUGUAAAACUAAAUUUGAUGUAUAAAUAUAGUUCAUGAAGAAAGUUAGGAUACUUUUUCAAUUGAAAAUAUUCUACAUGGUAUCAGAGCAUGGUUGGAGAAAGUCCAUCAAUCAUUCAGAGUAACAAAGGUCUUGAGAGUAUGUAGACUAGCAAUCUUGUUAGUUUGAAACCACGUCUCUAUAGGCUUUAAGUAGAAGCUAUUAGAAGACAUAAGAUUGGUCAUAGAGUUUUAUAGAAUGUCUUGCGAAAACUUAAGAAAUAGGAGAGAUUUAACCAAGAGGAUAUCUCUUCAUAUGUGAAAUCAACAAAUUAGUUGGUGACAGAAAUUAUUAUGUGUAGCAGUCUAAGUUGAAAUUGGUACUUAUCAAGGAGAACUUAUGGGCAAUUGUAGAAGAGAAAAGAGAAUCAACAAUAUUUCUUGCUUUGAUCGGACGCAAAUACAAUAUUGUGGCAGCUCUUUAGCAUGAAAAGAACAAAGUGCAUUCAGGAAUUUUGAUGUCCAUUUGUGACAAACUUAUGGAUAUGGUGAUGCAUAAAAUACAUUCAAGGAAAUAUAUCAGAGUGGAGAUCAAUCAUAGAUAAUGUUAAUUAACUCUCAAUUCUUUGUGUUAUGUUUGUAGGAACAAGAUGAUAUCAAAGAGUAUGGGAGAUUGGCAAGGAAAUAUAAGAACAAACUAGUAACAUUAGUAGAAGUGCUUUAAAAAAAAAUAACAAUAAAUCUCAACUUGAAUGGCUUACCUAGAGGUUAUGAUAUGAUGAUACAAUCAAUCAAUAAUUCUAUUUUACUACCAAGCUUUGAUAAGUGUGUUAAACAAAUAUUAAACAAGGCAAAGUAAUUGAAUAUAAGAGCUUGACACUUAGAGGAGGUCAAAGAAAUUAACUAUAUUGCAAGCCCAAAUUGACACUUGGAGGAGAUCAAAAAAAUUAACUAUAUUGUAGACUCAAAUAAUGGAUGUGGACAAACGUGAGGAAAAUUAUUACAAAAUGAAUACAAUGGUAGAGGUAGAGGACAUUCAAAGUUGAAAGGACUAUUAUUUUGCUUUGUAUGCAAUAAGCUUGGUCAUAUUACAAGAAAAUGUUAUCAUUGGAAAAGACAGAGUAUUAUAGCAAAUGAUGUUAACUUGGUAAUAGGUUCAAAAUUUGAAAAAUUGAAAGAAUUAGAUGAGCUCAAGGAAUUUCUAAUUGAAUCCCAAAAUAUAAAACAAUGAUACAUGGACAAUGUAUAUAGUAUUCAUGUGAUGGGAGAAAAAUAUUUAGUCACAAAUAUGACAUAAAUGGAUAACAAAAAUCUCACUACCGUAUGUGGUGAAUCACAUGGAAUUGAAAAAAAAUGAUUUAAAAACUGACCAUGGUAAAAUAAAGAUCACUAAUGUUUUGUACUUUCUAACUAUUAUCAAGAAUCUAUUAUUAGUGGAUUAUCUUAUAAAAGAUGGAAUAUUUUUUUUUUCACAAAAAAUUAUGUAUAUAUUUUAGAUAGUACAAAAAACUUUAAAAUGAUUGCAAUUGGAUAUAGAGACUCAAAAAAAAGGCUAUAUAAAUUUGAUAAUAUUAUGUUUAGAAAAAAAAACAAAAUCAAUUUAUUUUAGAGAAUACUGAAACUAAAAAAUGACAUUGUCAUUUUGGACAUCUAAAUUAUGCUAGAUUAUAUCAUCUUUCAAAGGCAAAUUAGGUGAAUGGAUUUCCUACAAUUCAAAAUGCAAAAUAAAUAUGAAAAGCUUGUUUAGCAGGACAAUAACAUAGACAAAAAUUUCUCAAGGCAUCUUUUAAUAGAGCAACAAAGAUAAAUCAACUUAUUUAUACUGAUUUAAUGAAACUUAUGAAAAUAACAUCAUUAAAUGGGUCAAGAUUUAUUGUCAUAUUUGUUGAUGAUAGAAGUCAUAAAAGUUGGUUGUAUUUUCUUAAAACAAGCGGUGAAACUCUUCAAAAAUUCAAGCAAUUUAAGACAAUGAUAGAUUCUGAAACUAACAAUAAAAUAGAGAUAUUAAAGACAGAUAGAGUAGGAGAAUUCUUAUCUACAACAUUUAUAAAAUAUUGCAAAGAAAAUGGAAUUAAAAGACAAUUGACAUAAGCUAGAACUCUUGCUCAGAAUGGUGUAGCAAAAAGAAGAAAUAGAGCAAUUAUUGAGAAGGGAAGAAAUUUGCAAUAUGAAUCAAAAUUACCUAUAUAUCUUUGGUCAAAAAUGGUAAAUAUAGAAAAUUAUCUUAUUAACAAAGGACUUACAAGGACUAAUGGAGGAGAAACACCAAAAAAAAGAUGGACAAAGAAGAAAUUAAAAGUUCAUCAUUUAGAAUUAUAGGAAGGUUGGCAUAUGUAUAUGUACCUAAGAAAGUGAGACCAAAAACUCAAUCAAAAACUAAAAAAUGUAUCAUGUUAAGAUAUGAUGAAAGGAAUAAAGUGUAUAGAUUAUGCUAUCGAUAGAAAAAGAAAACUCUUCUCAGCAGGGAUGUAAUAUUUGAUGAAUCCAAAGUUGGAUUCAAAUUUGUGAAAAUUGAUAAUAUGAUUAAAACCAGUACAGAGUGAAUUAGAAUUCCUACAACAAAUAUUCAGAAUCACGAAUUAUAUGACAAAGUUGAUCAAAUUGUUGAUCAAGAGCAUAUUGAUCAAGCAGUAACUCAACAUGAAGAGCAAAAGUUUGCUUUAGAACAAAAUGAAAACAAUACCAAAACCGGAGUACAAAAUGAAUGUUCUGAACCUCCACAAGAAGAAGUUUACAAUGAUUUCGAUGAUGAGAAUGAUCUAUCAGCAAUUACAGAAGGUAAUAUUUCAAACAAUACUAUUCAGAGAAAAUGAAAAUCUAGUCACGAUAUUAGAGAGAUAAAUCUGCAAAAAUCAAAAAAAAAAAAAACAAAAACAAAAA
Molecule: long non-coding RNA, 20136 nt
Filed under: Physcomitrium patens
Lineage: Eukaryota; Viridiplantae; Streptophyta; Bryopsida; Funariales; Funariaceae
Description: long non-coding RNA (PPAT_LNC000108)
Source: RNAcentral